AUUGAACGCUGGCGGCAUGCUUUACACAUGCAAGUCGAACGGUAACAGGCCGCAAGGUGCUGACGAGUGGCGAACGGGUGAGUAAUGCACCGGAACGUGUCCAGGCGUGGGGGGUAACUACUCGAAAGAGGAGCGAAUAUCCCAUACGAGCUAUGGGGGAAAGCGGGGGGCCGCAAGGGCUCGCGCGAUUGGAGCGGCCGAUGUGAGAUUAGGUAGUGGGUGGGGUAAAGGCUCACCAAGCCAACGAUCUGCAGCUGAUCUGAGAGGAUGACCAGCCACACUGGAACUGAGACACGGCCCAGACUCCUACGGGAGGCAGCAGUGGGGAAUUUUGGACAAUGGGCGAAAGCCUGAUCCAGCAAUGCCGCGUGCGGGAAGAAGGCCUUCGGGUUGUAAACUGCUUUUGUACGGGAGGAAACGGAUCUGGUUAAUACCCGGCGGUAAUGACGGUACCGUAAGAAUAAGCACCGGCUAACUACGUG
Molecule: ribosomal RNA, 482 nt
Filed under: uncultured bacterium
Lineage: Bacteria
Description: partial 16S ribosomal RNA
Rfam family: Bacterial small subunit ribosomal RNA
Source: RNAcentral